Humulus lupulus (European hop) is the source of this 955-nucleotide long non-coding RNA. RefSeq lists it as uncharacterized. The record is from RefSeq and is a predicted model, not a curated record. The transcript has 2 exons. NCBI's taxonomy places the organism in Eukaryota, Viridiplantae, Streptophyta, Magnoliopsida, Rosales, Cannabaceae.
UAUUCAUUACCGUAAGGCCUAUAAGUUUCUAGUUACCAAGGUUAUUCAAUCCCUCCACUCGAUUACUUAUUUUAUAUUAAUAUAAAGGGGAGUUAUACAGUCCUCAGUUGCAUUUGAGGUUUGUGAUCCCUCACGUCAAACAAAAUAAAAUGUACUGUAGCUAACUUUUGUAUUUUCUGUGUUCACCUGUUAGAGCUGGUUAUAUAAUCGGGGCACAUUAUUUUGAAAAUAAUUAAAAUUGAAAUGGGUAUUUUGAGGACGUUAUUGUAAAACUGUAUUUUUGCUUAGAUGUAUUGGAUCUUCGAAAGAGUGUAUUGGUGAUGAAUAUGUUUGUAUCCUUUUCCUUGGGAGAGUUGUAAGAGAAGAAUUCGAAAAAAUGAAGCCGCAGAGAAGGUCAUCGAUGAAAAUUGGGUGGACGCUUGGUUGACUGGAGACUACCACCGAGAAAAAUCCUUCAUCAGAACCGGCAUUAAUGGCAGAGAAGUAGAACAACAAUUUACCGGCAGGUUUGUGGAGAAAAGCUUAAAGGGUGUAGAGGUUAUGGAGAGGAUAUGUAAGUUUCUUGAGGGUUCUCUGCUUUUGGCGUUUUGUGAUGUUGCACAGGUCUUAUGGUCAUUGAGCUUGCUUGUAUCAAGUCUUAUCUUAGCUUUCUUUUUUUUUUUAUAGCAGGCUUUUUGUACUGACUAUAAGCACGGUGAUCAGAGACUUUGGUUUUAUUGUUCUGACAGAUUAAACACUAAUUCAUGUCUAGUAGUUUUCAUUGGGAUGAUUUUGGGUUUUAAAACUUAAUAACUAGUCUUCAAAUGUAUUGCUGAAAUUGUUUAUUUUCUUUAAUAUGAAACUUGGUAACUUGUACCUUCUUAAUUAUGAAGAAAGAUGAAAGUUGAAAUUGUAUCCUUUUAACAUGAUGACAUGUGAUCAACUCAGAAAUAAUAUCAUAAACUGAUUCUAAUUC